This 963-nucleotide ribosomal RNA is filed under the name Versteria mustelae. RNAcentral's name for it is "large subunit ribosomal RNA". The stretch from base 643 to 921 matches the Rfam family "Bacterial large subunit ribosomal RNA", at positions 2074 to 2646 of the family's 2925-position model. Lineage: Eukaryota; Metazoa; Platyhelminthes; Cestoda; Cyclophyllidea; Taeniidae. The record is from RNAcentral.
UAAUCUAUAGGUUGUUAUUACGAUUUAGGUUUAUUUUGCCUUUUGCAUCAUGCUUGAUGGAUUUUUUUAAAUUAUUUUUUAAAUCGAAAAGUUUAGAUCUUAGUUUUAAUUGUUUGGAACUUUAUGUUCUUGUGUAAAGGUUUAUUAAAUUAAUUCUAUGAUGUGAUAAGUUAUUCGUUAAACUUUAUAUCUAUUUUGUUGUUUAUAAUUUUGUAUUACGUAAUGAGCUAAGAGGUUCUUUAUGGUGUUAUACACUUUUAUUAUUUUUGUUAAGAUAAGGUUAAAAGUACCUAUUUUUUAUGAGGUUGUUAAAAAUUUGUGUUUUUGGGUUUAGUGUUAAUUUUUGUGACAACAUAUUUUUACUUUUAGUGAUUUAUACAUCAUUGAAUAAGUAAUUAUAUUAUUUUAAUUAUUUCUCAGAAUUUUUCCGUCUGUUUAUUAAAAACAUUUCUAGAUUUAAUAUUAUCUAGUAGUGCCUGCCCAGUGUUUUUUUUAUAAAUGGCCGCAGUAUAUUGACUGUGCGAAGGUAGCAUAAUUAAUUGCCUUUUAAUUGGGGGCUUGUUUGAAUGGUUUGACGAGAUAGAGAUGAAUAUUUAGUAUUUACUUGAAAUUAGUUUUGAGGGCACAGAUUCCUCAGUUAUUAAUUAGACGGAAAGACCUUGGGAUCUUUUAAUUUUGCUUGGGGCAAGUUUAAUUAUUGUAAUUAUAUUUGGACCCUAUAAUGGUUUAUUGAAUUAAGUUACCCCAGGGAUAACAGUGUAAUGAUUAAUGAGAGAUCAUAUCUAGUUAAUCGUUUGCCACCUCGAUGUUGACUUAGGUUGUAGCCCGGGUGUAGGAGUUUGGGUGUAUGGGUCUGUUCGACCUUUUAACCUCCAUGAGUUGAGUUAAGACCGGCGUGAGCCAGGUCGGUUCUUAUCUAUUGUAGAAGUUUAUCAGUACGAAAGGACAGUAAGCUUUUUUAUU